Molecule: ribosomal RNA, 796 nt
Filed under: uncultured bacterium
Lineage: Bacteria
Description: bacterial SSU rRNA
Rfam family: Bacterial small subunit ribosomal RNA
Source: RNAcentral
AGAGUUUGAUCCUGGCUCAGGAUAAACGCUGGCGGCGCACAUAAGACAUGCAAGUCGAACGGACUUAACUCAUUCUUUUAGAUUGAGAGCGGUUAGUGGCGGACUGGUGAGUAACACGUAAGCAACCUGCCUAUCAGAGGGGAAUAACAGUGAGAAAUCAUUGCUAAUACCGCAUAAGCUAGUAGCAUCGCAUGAUGUAGCUAGAAAAGGAGCAAUCCGCUGAUAGAUGGGCUUGCGUCUGAUUAGCUAGUUGGUGGGGCAACGGCCUACCAAGGCGACGAUCAGUAGCCGGACUGAGAGGUUGAACGGCCACAUUGGGACUGAGAUACGGCCCAGACUCCUACGGGAGGCAGCAGUCGGGAAUAUUGCGCAAUGGAGGAAACUCUGACGCAGUGACGCCGCGUAUAGGAAGAAGGUUUUCGGAUUGUAAACUAUUGUCGUGAGGGAAGAAAUUGACAGUACCUCAGGAGGAAGCUCCGGCUAACUAUGUGCCAGCAGCCGCGGUAACACAUAGGGAGCAAGCGUUAUCCGGAUUUAUUGGGUGUAAAGGGUGCGUAGACGGGAAAUUAAGUUAGUUGUGAAAUCCCUUGGCUUAACUGAGGAACUGCAACUAAAACUGGUUUUCUUGAGUACUGGAGAGGAAAGUGGAAUUCCUAGUGUAGCGGUGAAAUGCGUAGAUAUUAGGAGGAACACCAGUGGCGAAGGCGACUUUCUGGACAGUAACUGACGUUGAGGCACGAAAGUGUGGGGAGCAAACAGGAUUAGAUACCCUGGUAGUCCACACUGUAAACGAUGG